This 440-nucleotide ribosomal RNA is filed under the name uncultured bacterium. Its description in RNAcentral is "partial 16S ribosomal RNA". It matches the Rfam family "Bacterial small subunit ribosomal RNA", at positions 338 to 795 of the family's 1533-position model. The record is from RNAcentral.
CCUACGCGAGGCAGCAGUGGGGAAUAUUGCACAAUGGGGGAAACCCUGAUGCAGCGACGCCGCGUGAGUGAAGAAGUAAUUCGUUAUGUAAAGCUCUAUCAGCAGGGAAGAAAAUGACGGUACCUGAGUAAGAAGCCCCGGCUAACUACGUGCCAGCAGCCGCGGUAAUACGUAGGGGGCAAGCGUUAUCCGGAUUUACUGGGUGUAAAGGGAGCGUAGACGGCAGUGCAAGUCUGGAGUGAAAGGCGGGGGCUCAACCCCCGGACUGCUCUGGAAACUGUACGGCUGGAGUGCAGGAGAGGUAAGUGGAAUUCCUGGUGUAGCGGUGAAAUGCGUAGAUAUUAGGAGGAACACCAGUGGCGAAGGCGGCUUACUGGACUGCGACUGACGUUGAGGCUCGAAAGCGUGGGGAGCGAACAGGAUUAGAUACCCCAGUAGUC